Molecule: ribosomal RNA, 501 nt
Filed under: uncultured bacterium
Lineage: Bacteria
Description: partial 16S ribosomal RNA
Rfam family: Bacterial small subunit ribosomal RNA
Source: RNAcentral
AUUGAACGCUGGCGGCAUGCCUUACACAUGCAAGUCGAACGGCAGCACGGGUGCUUGCACCUGAUGGCGAGUGGCGAACGGGUGAGUAAUAUAUCGGAACGUACCUUAUAGUGGGGGAUAACGCAGCGAAAGCUGUGCUAAUACCGCAUAAUCCCUAAGGGGGAAAGCGGGGGACCGUAAGGCCUCGCGCAAUUAGAGCGGCCGAUACCUGAUUAGCUAGUUGGUGAGGUAAAGGCUCACCAAGGCAACGAUCAGUAGCUGGUCUGAGAGGACGAUCAGCCACACUGGGACUGAGACACGGCCCAGACUCCUACGGGAGGCAGCAGUGGGGAAUUUUGGACAAUGGGGGCAACCCUGAUCCAGCAAUGCCGCGUGAGUGAAGAAGGCCUUCGGGUUGUAAAGCUCUUUUGUCAGGGAAGAAACAGCAGCUCUAACACAGUAUGCGAAUGACGGUACCUGAAGAAUAAGCACCGGCUAACUACGUGCCAGCCGCCGCAGUAA